This 467-nucleotide ribosomal RNA is filed under the name uncultured bacterium. RNAcentral describes it as "partial 16S ribosomal RNA". It matches the Rfam family "Bacterial small subunit ribosomal RNA", at positions 28 to 507 of the family's 1533-position model. The record is from RNAcentral.
GACGAACGCUGGCGGCGUGCUUAACACAUGCAAGUCGAACGGAAAGGCCUCUUUCGGGGGGUACUCGAGUGGCGAACGGGUGAGUAACACGUGAGUAACCUGCCCUUGACUUUGGGAUAACUUCUGGAAACUGGGGCCAAUACCUGAUAGGACCUACUGCCGCAUGGUGGGGGCUGGAGAGUUUCGGGGGUUGGGGAUGGGCUGGCGGCGUAUCAGCUUGAUGGGGGGGGAGUGGCUUACCGAGGCCUUGGCGGGAAGCCGGCCAGAGAGUGUGAGCGGCGACAUUGGGACUGAGAGACGGCCCAGGCGCCGAAGGGAGGAAGCAGGGGGGAAUAGUGCACAAGGGGUGGAAGCCGGAUGCAGCAGCGCCGCGGGCGGGAAGACGGUCUUGGGGUUGUAAACCGGUUGCGGUCAUGACGAAGCUUUGUGUGACGGUAGUGGGUAAAGAAGCACCGGCUAACUACGUG